Molecule: non-coding RNA, 26 nt
Filed under: Homo sapiens (human)
Lineage: Eukaryota; Metazoa; Chordata; Mammalia; Primates; Hominidae
Source: RNAcentral
UCCAUAGUGAAGAGGGGAGCCAGAGU